Molecule: ribosomal RNA, 585 nt
Filed under: Symbiobacterium thermophilum
Lineage: Bacteria; Bacillati; Bacillota; Clostridia; Eubacteriales; Symbiobacteriaceae
Description: partial 23S ribosomal RNA
Rfam family: Bacterial large subunit ribosomal RNA
Source: RNAcentral
CGGUUAAGGAAGGAAGGGCGCACGGUGGAUGCCUUGGCACUAGGAGCCGAAGAAGGACGCGGCAAACGGCGAAACGCCUCGGGGAGCCGUAAGCAGGCGUAGAUCCGGGGAUUUCCGAAUGGGGGAACCCACCGUCCGUAAUGGGGCGGUAUCCAUGUCUGAAUCCAUAGGGCAUGGAGGGCAACCCGGGGAACUGAAACAUCUUAGUACCCGGAGGAGAAGAAAGCAACAGCGAUUCCCUGAGUAGCGGCGAGCGAAAGGGGAACAGCCCAAACCAAAGGGCUUUGCCCUUUGGGGUUGUAGGACACUCCAGAUGGAGUUACAAAAGAGCGGGGUAGGCGAAGCGGCCUGGAACGGCCCGUCGGAGAAGGUAAGAACCCUGUAGCCGAAACCCCGUUCUCUCCGGAGUGGAUCCUGAGUACGGCGGGACACGAGGAAUCCCGUCGGAAGCGGGGAGGACCAUCUCCCAAGGCUAAAUACUCCCUAGUGACCGAUAGUGAACCAGUACCGUGAGGGAAAGGUGAAAAGCACCCCGGGAGGGGAGUGAAAGAGAACCUGAAACCGUGUGCCUACAAGUAGUCAGAG